UAAGGCAUGUCGAGAUAUCAACAGAACAGCGGGGUUAAACAUAGAUAUCCCUAAUCUGCGGCCCCCACACAAACCGUUUGCAGACAGAAUGUCACGACAACCCCAUCCUGUUGUUUGAAUUCACAGCAUGUGUUCUCUAAACCAGGCAUACAUCUCUCAAAAAAAACUCAUUCCGAACUUUUAGAUAGUUAGGGACAGAACUAUUUUUUAACGUUGUCAGUAUUGCUUUAGCGCAAACAUAAAGGCCCAGAAUAUUGAGCUGCACGGACAUAUUAAAAUAAUAAUAAUAAUAAUAAUAUUCGGAAUAAGGGAAUCUCGCAUAAUGGAUAUUUCUGGCGGAUCCCCGACAUUUAUGCAGAUUUUACGAGAGUUGCCGGAUCUGGAACAUGAUGGGGGUUCGCAGGAGCAAAAUUCUGGCAGACAAUCACCAACGGCCUUUUUUCGUUCCGACAUACAGCCCGUUGUGAUAAAGGAUGUGUUAUGGACAUCUGACACGCAGGACUUUGAUGCAAUUCUACCGUUCUGUACGAGCGCUUUUUCAAACUCACCGCAAAUCCAGGGAACAUUGACCCCCUCCAGACAUACUCAAGACCCCAACAACCAACUAGUAACGUUGACCCAAGUACACUGCUCAGAAUCAA
Long non-coding RNA from Oncorhynchus gorbuscha (pink salmon), 641 nucleotides. RefSeq lists it as uncharacterized. NCBI's taxonomy places the organism in Eukaryota, Metazoa, Chordata, Actinopteri, Salmoniformes, Salmonidae. The record is from RefSeq and is a predicted model, not a curated record. The transcript is spliced from 3 exons.